Long non-coding RNA from Tribolium castaneum (red flour beetle), 281 nucleotides. RefSeq lists it as uncharacterized. The record is from RefSeq and is a predicted model, not a curated record. The transcript has 2 exons. NCBI's taxonomy places the organism in Eukaryota, Metazoa, Arthropoda, Insecta, Coleoptera, Tenebrionidae.
UUCUUAUCGCUGCUUUUACCUUUAAUUUGCUACUUUAUCGCAUUGGUAUCUGUAGCUAUAUAAGGGAGUAUAACACAGCCAAAAGCAUUGUUCUAACAAGUGAUUUGACAAACUUAUGAUGUUUUUUGAAAAGUUAUCAAUGGCAAAACUUGCAUUUGCCGCAGUGGUGUUGUCUGCUUUCCUCUCCCAGAUUAGUGCAGCGAAAGCUGUCAAAAGACUAGCGCCGUAAUUUCUUUCCAUGUGAUGGAUAAAUAAGGAAUAAAAUAAAAUUGCUGAAAACA